GACCAUGGGCGGCUCCUCGGUGUUCAGCUCCACCGCGUCGUACUUCUCUUUGCCCCACUUGACGUUGACUGACGGCAGAGUACAGCGGCGUUACAGCAGGGGAUGACACAGCAAACGCCAAGUGACCGGCCGGCCGCUUCCGCGCAACAACAACACUGCACGUCAUCUGGGAGACCAUCUUUGAGCGGAGCGAGUCGCGUUAGCAAAGGCUAAAGCCCCAUUUCACCGGCACCAACCCACCGCGGCGUCCAGCCGAACCGGCGGGCUCCGGCUGCUGAAGCGUGCUGCAGUGACCGGCGGCUGCUCGGUCCCGCGGGAGCCGGCGGCCGCUUCCGCGAGCGACCGCACGUCUCUUGUUUGGGUCCGUUAGCAUCGCGCACCGGCUGCCGACAGCCUCCACACACAAACGGCCGGUGUGCGGCCCACGCGGGGGGUUUAACAAGCCACCGGUCCGUGUCGACCUGGAGCACAGUCGAGGAAACCACCGCGCUGCGCCGCAAACGCAAAAAGUGCUUCGUAACGCUGGCGAGCUAACGCGGUGUUGUGCUAAUGCUAGCAGGCUAGGCGCGCUAGUCGGCGCGCACGUGACGCGCUGCCGGGGCCACAGCUUCUCCUCCCGAGGCGGAUAUAAGCCGCGGCUCACCUGUGAACACCGGCAUGUUGGGUGCUGGGCAGCGCUGGCUGGGUGCGGGAGCUCGCUGUGUUCAGUGCGGAGCAGCGAGCGGCGUCACUCUCCACUUCAUUCAAACGGAAUGACGCUGCAACUCGCGCUGUGACCCCCGAACCGAGCCUGGGCGGGUCUUCCACGGCCGACGGCAUGACACGCGCGCGCACGCGCGCGCGCCUCUCUCCUCAGCCCCGUCGGUUUCAUUGUCAUCUACGCGUCUGUUGUGCGUCUGUUACUGACACGGAGACCACAGAACCACAGGCAAGCGCGAGCCCUCCCGCUCACGGACAGUUGCCCACGCCGCCGGUAAUUCAGAUCAUACGUGACGUCAGGAGUUGAACCUGAGCCACUCGGCUUUCGAACGUGUCUCGCACUUCCGCCGACGGCUGAUGACGUCUGGAAAAUCACCCCUCACCUAAUGUCGCUCUUCAGUCACAGAACAAGCCCCACAGUGGUCUCCGCCCCCCCCUCCCGGCUGCAGGUCAAGGUCACAUCUGGCCCACGUUUGACCCCAUUUUUAACUCAAGCAACAGAAUCCCCACCAACACACAGGCGCGGCUGUGUGGCGACUGAGGCAUGAAGGUGGACAGCUCAGGUACAACCAAUGAUAAAGAUAUGUUUAUUGACAUAUCCAUCAGUGCGGACUGCAAUGCAAUAAACCAUGCAAUUAAUCCAAGACCAGAGAAAAUCAUAGUUCCAGUGCUUUUCUUUUCAACUGAACAGAAGGUUACACAUCAAAAGAUUGCGGAGGUAUUCCAGAAUCCUUUAGUCGCUUCUCAGUAUGUACACUGUAGCAGGGGGUUUGCAUUCACGGGACCGCGUGACAGCUGUGCUCGCAACAUCCCGAAACUUGUCAAAUGAUACGAGAGCAGGGACUUUUCUGUUUUUUUAUUCAACAUGCUAACCAUUGCAAUGUGUCCAUAGAGUGGUAAUCUAAUCAUAUUUAUAUAUAUAUAUAUAUUUAUUUAUAUAUAAUCCAAGCAAGUAGGUCUCAAUAAAACCACACCUGUGGCAUUUCCUUAAAAAGAACUGACGGAAGAGUUGUGAUUUGUCUUGUCUGAAAGAAAGAGCGCGCAGAUAUGGCAGUAAAAACAACAUCCAAACAUUAAGGCACUAGGUGGCCAAAUGCUACACCUGUUAAGUCUUCUACAAAUAAUUUACAAACAGUGCAGUUUUACAAUGUUAACUUAAUGUUUUCCUUUUGAACCAUUUAUCUGUGAAUCAAUGUAAGGCAAUACAUUACAAAAACAAACACUGAACAAAGAGAAAUAUUACAAUGUACCAAAUAAACAGAAAAAAAAAAAAAGCGAGGAAGCUUCAGGACUCCAGUCUGCCACGGUGGGUGGAGGUUACUUAUGGCUUGGAGCAAUAAAAAUCACUAGAAUAAAAAUAAUGCAUAGAAUUAAAUGAUGAAUUUCCGUGCUCCUCACGUGGCGCUCGAGAGCUCUAAUACUCGUGUCCCAACACUCUGCCCCGAACCUGAUAAGUGACGUAGAGUAAUUAGAAUAAAAGGCAAAAGUCAGACAAAAGGCAUCAGUCAGUUAAAACGUGCGGAGGAUCCUUCAGGCGGGACGAUGGCGGCCACCUCCCUGCCCCCCCCCUGAGUCUCCAUCGCUCCCCGCAGACCUGCAAUCCCUGUGCGACCGUACCUUUAACUGAACAACUAUUCGCAGAAGUCCCAGCAAACCCCCCUGAAAAUGAA
Long non-coding RNA from Synchiropus splendidus (mandarinfish), 2369 nucleotides. RefSeq lists it as uncharacterized. The transcript is spliced from 3 exons. Lineage: Eukaryota; Metazoa; Chordata; Actinopteri; Syngnathiformes; Callionymidae. The record is from RefSeq and is a predicted model, not a curated record.